UCUGGUUGAUCCUGCCAGUAGUCAUACAUUUGUCUUAAAGAUUAAGCCAUGCAUGUCUCAGCUCUUUGAUUGGUAAACAGUAGAUUGCGAAUGGUUCAGUAUAACAGUUACGAUAUGUUUGAAAUUUAGUUUAUGUGGAUAACUGUGGGAACUCUUCAGCUAAUACGUGAUACACAGUAUAUAAAUAUAUAUAUAUAGAAUAUGUUUAUAGCUGUUAUUUAAUAUCAAAUUAUAAUGUACUUACACUAUAGUCGAUUCAUAAUUAUUACGAACAGAUUACUUCACAAGUAGCAAUUCAUUUAAGUUUCUGACCUAUCAGUUAAUUAAUUGCAUCUUGAGCAUUUGAGGCAUUAACGGGUAACAGGGAAUUAGGGUUCUAUUCCGGAGAGGGAGUCUGAGAAAUAGCUACCACAUCUAAGGAAGGCAGCAGGCGCGUAAAUUACCCAAUUACGAUUAGUAGAGGUAGUGACAAGAAAUCACAAUAUUAUGCCUUAUGGCUAUAAUUGUAUUGACAUAAAUAUAGAUAUUAUAUCUAUAAGCUAGUGGAGGGCAAGUCUGGUGCCAGCAGCCGCGGUAAUUCCAGCUCCGAUAGUUUAUGCUAACAAUGUUGCAAUUAAAACGCUCAUAGUCAAACUUUUCAGAUAUUCAAUUUUAUGUAGUCUUAAUGAAAUAUAAAUAAGUCGUUUUAUAUUAAUAUAUAACUUAUUUUGUUGAAAUUAAUUUUUCGAUAGUUAUUUAAGUUUGUUUUACUUUAAAAAAAUAAUAGUGUUCCAAACAGUCGUUUGUUAUUAUUAUAAAAUAUGGAAUGAUAAAUAAUGAUGGUGGCUCAAUGUAUGAUUUGAAAUGUUGGUGUAAUGAUAUUUAGAGUGUUUUGGGGGGAUAAGUAUUUUGUCGUUAGAAGUGAAAUUCUUGGAUUGAUAAAAGACUAACAACAGCAAAAGCAUUCAUCUAGAAGCUAUUCCUUGAUCAAGAACGUAAGUUGUGGGAUCGAAGACGAUCAGAUACCGUCGUAGUCUCAACUAUAAACAAUAUCGAUCAGGAAUUAGCGAAUGUUUAUAUAACAUUGUUAGAACCUUAAGAGAAAUCAAAGUGUUUGGAUUCCGGGGGGAGUAUGGUUGCAAGGCUGAAACUUAAAGGAAUUGACGGAAGGGCACCACAAGAUGUGUAUUCUGUGGCUUAAUUUGACUCAACACAGGAAAUCUUAUCAGGUCCAGACAUUGAAAUUAUUGACAGAUUGACAGCUCUUUCUUGGUUCAGUGGAUGGUGGUGCAUGGCCGUUCUUAGUUGGUGGAGUGAUUUGUCUGGUUAAUUCCGUUAACGAACGAGACGAUCGAUUGUUAAUUCGCGUAAUAAUUGAAUUAAUGAUUUUGCUUCUUUGAGAAACUAGAUUUGCAUAAAAAGCCGGAAGUUGGUAGCAAUAACAGGUCUGUGAUGCCCUUAGACGUUCUGUGUAGCGCACGGGCUACAAUAGGAGAAUUACUAUGCUUACUAUCUUAACUCUAAAAGAGCUGAGAAAUCAUGAAACUUACUUUUAGUUGGGCUUACAUAUUGAAAUUCUUAUGUAUUAACCAGGAAUAUCUAGUAAAUUUAGGUCAUUAACGUUCUUUGAAUGCGUCCCUGCCUUUUGUACACACCGCCCGUCGCUCCUACCGAUUGGAUAAGAUAGUGAUUAGAUUGGAUUAAAAGUGAACUUCCUAAAAGAUAUCAAUACGAUUAGAAAUUUGUAAACUAGAUUAUUUAGAGGAAGGAGAAGUC
RNAcentral lists this ribosomal RNA (1755 nucleotides) under marine metagenome. RNAcentral's name for it is "SSU rRNA". It matches the Rfam family "Eukaryotic small subunit ribosomal RNA". The record is from RNAcentral.